RNAcentral lists this unclassified non-coding RNA (218 nucleotides) under uncultured soil eukaryote. RNAcentral describes it as "sequence contains 5.8S rRNA gene, ITS2, 28S rRNA gene". The record is from RNAcentral.
AACGCAUAUGGCACCUUUUGGCGCAUGCUGGAAGGUAUGCCUGUUUGAGAAUCAUUUCCACCAUUCUGAUUGGUCGCAUUGCAUCGUCAGAGACCUGGGCCUUCACCACUGAUCGCCCCGAAUGCAGCGUGCACGGUCGUGAUAGCAUUGUUGAUCGACCAAUCGCACAGCACCUUGUCGAUGAUCUCAAAUCAGGCAGGACUACCCGCUGAACUUAA